AGUCCAGGAAGUAGCCAAUGGAGCAGCAGUAUUUGUUGGUCUCUUCAGAGACCCGUACGAGUGGUCAGACCUGACUGACUCCUCACUAAGGUACUGGAGGGAAUCCCAACUGGUAAAUACAGAAUAUCAUCAAAACUGUGUUGCAAUGCUGAAGAAUGAAUCUGGCAAAUGGGGAGACAGGAAAUGCACAGAAGUUCAUCCUUUCCUCUGCAAAUGCAUACAAACUAAACUGCAGUUCAUAAAACUGAGGAUCAGCCUGCAGGACUCAAGUUUGGAUCUGAAUGACCCUGCAGUGCAAAACAGCAUCUUGGAACAAAUGAAGCAAAGGCUGGGUGGAAAUGUAAAUGGUGUCAACAAUCUUAACUGGAAAAAACACUCAGAUGGAAAGGUUUUCAUCAAGGAAACAGAGGAACACAACCAAUGAGACGAAUACAGCAGGACUGCUAAAAUUCUGACUUAAAGAUGUAAAACCCCACCAACCAGGAUGGUAAAAAAACUUUUAGCUGUUGCUGAUUAAACUUUUUUCAAUAGGAAUGCUUAGGCGCUAAUAUGAUGACUAUCUUGAAUAACUCUGUGAGUCAUUAUGCUUUUUAAUUUAGCCUGCCUCUUAUUUUUUAGCAAAUUCAGAAAUCCAACCAUAUCAUCUAUCAUCUAUCAUUAAUAUGUCCUGCUUUCAUCCUGAGAAUUUCAUCUUUCAUUUGAUUUAGAGCCUCCUGUGUAGAAAAGAUACACAUUAACAUGUGCACCAUUAAGACUAAGAUUACUUUCAGUCGUCAUCAUAAUGAACUGGUCCACAGGAAAAAACCCAGUUACAACAGGAUUCAGCACUAACAUGGUAAAUAUGAAAUAAAUUAGCAAUGAUAUGUAUCCAGUAAGCUUUAACAACAAAAAAUGUAAGUCCUUCAUGUAUAUUAGUUUUACUUCAAACCAAUAGUACUCAAAAGGAACUGAAGAGUAUUUCAAGAACAUCUAGAGAAAAUGAAUGAAGAGCAAAUGCUGGCACCUCUGAAGUUUAGUGUAUGGAGACCAACACCAGACAUUGUUGAACUUCCUUCAGGUUAAGCAACUGUUCCUUUCUUUUUUAUGCAUUUUAAUGGGAAAGGAACAUGUUCAUCCCUUUACACAACACAAGAAAAGUGAAUAAACUCUCAAUUGUUGCAGCUAUUACAGUGUUUCAAACUGCCAGCAGCCAUAUUGGAUUUUGAUGAAGGGGUUGAUGAGAUGACCUCUGAGUUUAAUUUUCCUGCUAGGAUUUUUUAGUUGGAUGUUUUGCUACAAUCAUGCAUUUAUUUUUAUUCUUCCGCUUUUUUUGUGUGGGAAUAAGUCCAGCUCCAGUUUUGGUAUUGUUUCAAAACACCUUCACAGUGUCUUAGAAAACUUUAGAAUUUAUAUUAAUGCCAGUAUAAAGAUAUGUAAUCUGUAAUAAUUUAAGAAGUACAGCAUUAUUGUAUGACAUGAAACGGUCAGCAGGUUUUUAUAUUGAUAAAUUGUUUUAAGGAAAUUUUUUGCCAACUAUUUGCCUUUUAGAUACAUGACUAGCUAAGUUCACAUGCUAUCUGUAUUUUUUUCAAACUAAAAGUUAAUAAAGUAACUUGUCUGGCCUUGUCUUA
Long non-coding RNA from Xiphophorus couchianus (Monterrey platyfish), 1610 nucleotides. RefSeq lists it as uncharacterized. The record is from RefSeq and is a predicted model, not a curated record. The transcript is spliced from 3 exons. Lineage: Eukaryota; Metazoa; Chordata; Actinopteri; Cyprinodontiformes; Poeciliidae.